GCUCCCCGCUGUCGUCUGCGGCGGUUGCAGGGCGCCUCGCCAACAAGAAUACUUGCGCCGCUUCUCCUACAUCUGGUGCCAGCCGGCCACACCAUCAGGCAUCAGCUACUACUACUUGCGUCCGGCAAGCUCCGCAUCACUUCAUCCACGCAUCUGCUACUGGGUGGGAUUAUACGCUAAGAUCACUUGGUCAACAUAUCCUCCCUGCCCACCGGUGGAACGACCUCGACCGCUGUUGCUUCUGCGGCGGAUCCAGCGCGCCUCGCCACUAGCAUUGUUCCGGCCGCCCCCACUGCCCCGCAUCAGCUACUUGGUGGGCUUAGAUGGCAAGCUGCGUCAGUGUGCUUCCUUGCUGAUUUCAGUGGUACACAACCCUUGAUUGGCGCUGGCUACUGUAUUUUCCCGCGGUAUUCUUCAGCACCGCCCUAUUUCAACCAAUUUGGAUGAAGCAAUGCUGAUGACACUGGACAUGUAACCCAAUCUUUGGGAGGUGUCUCAACAACUUUGAAAUGCUGGGCUCCAAAAGACGGCGGCCGGGAAUAAGCUCCCCUAUUUGCAUUCUCCUGCGUUUGACGAGACGCCAAAUCACCCUAGACAUGGCACUGAAAUCUUGGCACAUCAGCAGGAGAGCCUCCAGCUGUUGUUUUACAGAGUCGAGGUAGUUGUGCCCUUUAUCCUUAUCUUAUCUUCAACAUUUUUACACACUCGUAGACUUCAGGGCAUUGAUUUCUUCUUGCCCUUGUUGUACAUGUCGACAACAUAGCUGAAAACUUCUCUUUUAAGUUCGUUCAUGUCUUGCAUAGCUUUCUCAUAUAAAGUGAAAAAAUGCAAAGCCCCCCCUAGAUAAUUCCUGUGGAUCAUUCAGAAAAAAGUUCCAGCGCCACUAUGAUGGCGAAGAGAGUCGGCUUCGUUGUAGCAUUGAACCGACAAAGGAGAACCAGUAUUCUUCCAUGAUUUGAGCGAAAUCAGGCCUUCACCUGAUUCUCUGGAGAAGUUCAGGCCCAUGUUAACCCAUCUGUAAAAAAAUUGCAAAAUUGCUUUGAAGCUCCACUUGUGCAUACUCUCCCAGAAACAAAGUUGCACUUUUGUAUAUAGCCGAAUACUUCAACCUAUUCGAGUGCCCACGUGCACGUAAUGUUUUUGCUUAUGAACGUGUGUUUUUAUUGGUGUCGUCGACCCAAACAUAUCCUGAAAUAUCUGUGGUCCUGCAGUGACGCUUGGCUUGUAUGCUACCUUCUGUAAUUCAACAUGGUUUAUGUCCACUGUGUACGAUUUUUUAUGUGGCUUCCCUUUAUGUGUAACAACAUAUUAUCUUCGGAAGUUAUCUGUUUUGCGUUGGAUCUCA
Long non-coding RNA from Lolium rigidum, 1345 nucleotides. RefSeq lists it as uncharacterized. The record is from RefSeq and is a predicted model, not a curated record. The transcript has 6 exons. NCBI's taxonomy places the organism in Eukaryota, Viridiplantae, Streptophyta, Magnoliopsida, Poales, Poaceae.